GGAGAGAUGGCCGAGCUGGCUUAAGGCGAUAGACUGCUAAUCUGUUGAGUGGGUUUUACCUGCUCCGAGGGUUCGAAUCCCUCUCUCUCCGCCA
This 94-nucleotide transfer RNA is filed under the name Candidatus Auribacterota bacterium. RNAcentral describes it as "tRNA-Ser". It matches the Rfam family "tRNA". From Rfam's summary of the family: Transfer RNA (tRNA) molecules are approximately 80 nucleotides in length. Lineage: Bacteria; Pseudomonadati; Candidatus Auribacterota. The record is from RNAcentral.